AUUCACUUCACAGUCACACCGGUUUGCUUACAUCUCUAACACAGAACCAGGAAAUUACAUCAACUCUCCACUUCAAGAAAAAAGUGCCUGUCAGUUAUGUUACGUCUCUGUGUGUGCAUGCAGUGAAAUGGCUGAAGCCACGUUUUCUCAGGAUAAAUUCAGCUGUCCAGUGUGUCUGGAUCUAUUGAAGGAUCCAGUGACUAUUCCUGUGGACACAGUUACUGUAUGAGCUGCAUUACAGACUGCUGGGACCAAGAGGAUCAGAAGAGAGUCUACAGCUGUCCUCAGUGCAGACAGACCUUCAGUCCAAGACCUGCUUUAAACAAAACAAUGUACUGUUGUUUUGUCCUAUACAGAGACAAUUAGAUGAGACACGGAGAGAAUUCCAGCAGCAAAUCCAGGAGCGAGAGAAGAGGCUUCGGGAGCUGAAAGAGGCUGUGGAGACUCACAAGCGCUCUGCACAGACAGCAGUGGAGAAAAGUGAGAGGAUCUUUACUGAACUCAUCCGCUCCAUUGAGAAGAGACGCUCUGAGGUCACACAGAUGAUCAGAGAUCGAGAAAAGACUGUAGAGAGUCGAGCUGAAGGACUCAUGGAGCGGCUGGAGCAGGAGAUUGAUGUUCUGAGGAAGAGAAACGCGGAGCUGGAGCAGCUUUCAGACACACGUGAUCACAUCCAUUUCCUUCAGAGUUUUCCAUCUCUCUCUGACCCUCCUGGAUGUCCGGAUGUUCCCAGCAUAUCCGUUCCUAUGAUGAUGUUGGACAAUCAGUCUCUAAACUGAGACAAAAAAAUGGAGGAUUUUUGCAGAGAGGAGAUUGAAAAGAUAUCUGGUAAAGGUAAAACUUUGGGAGGUGGGGAGCUAAUGCUAUUUCAUGCAGUUAUUGACACUGUGCCAAAUAUACUCCUUCAGGAUUUAUUUACGUUUCUGAAAGUUUUUUUUUUU
Long non-coding RNA from Carassius auratus (goldfish), 941 nucleotides. RefSeq lists it as uncharacterized. The record is from RefSeq and is a predicted model, not a curated record. NCBI's taxonomy places the organism in Eukaryota, Metazoa, Chordata, Actinopteri, Cypriniformes, Cyprinidae. The transcript has 3 exons.